RNAcentral lists this ribosomal RNA (194 nucleotides) under uncultured bacterium. RNAcentral's name for it is "partial 16S ribosomal RNA". It matches the Rfam family "Bacterial small subunit ribosomal RNA", at positions 338 to 524 of the family's 1533-position model. The record is from RNAcentral.
CCUACGGGAGGCAGCAGUGGGGAAUAUUGCACAAUGGGCGAAAGCCUGAUGCAGCCAUGCCGCGUGUGUGAAGAAGGCCCUAGGGUUGUAAAGCACUUUCAGUGGGGGGGAAAGGUUGAAGGUUAAUACCCUUUGGCUGUGACGUUACCCACAGAAGAAGCACCGGCUAACUCCGUGCCAGCAGCCGCGGUAAU